GGCCGGUAUAUGCUGAUUGACAGAUCAUGCUUACUUAAGACGCAAUCAGUUUCAGUGCGAAGACAUUUGGUCGACCCAAGGUGAACCCCCAACAUGACAUCUGCAUGGUUUCCCAUAUCACCCAAUUCCCCAUCUCUGUCCCUCCAUGGGACCCAGCAGUUUGCUUUGAGCCUCCAACAUAACACUGUCACUAUGCCAAAACAGCACAAAGGAGACACCACAAUAGUGACUUAGAACUGAAACGCGUCACUAAUAAAUAUAUUAGUGACGCGGCGGAACGAAGCGCGUCGCUGCUAAGUUUUUGCCCAUGUCAUAGGAAUAAGACGCGUCACUAAUG
This 337-nucleotide long non-coding RNA is filed under the name Sorghum bicolor (sorghum). Its description in RNAcentral is "long non-coding RNA (SBIC_LNC014887)". The record is from RNAcentral. Lineage: Eukaryota; Viridiplantae; Streptophyta; Magnoliopsida; Poales; Poaceae.